GAAUCUUACUUCUCAAACAACCUUAGAAGGAAAGUCAGCUUUAAAUACACAUUUUAAAUUGUCUGUCUAAAGUUGGCAAGUAACUGUACUAUGGAAAAAAAAAAACCUGCAAACCUGAGUUGGCCCCCAAACAUAGACGCUUAAUGAUGAUUGGCUGAUAAACAGCGCCGUUUGUGAGUUGCCAACCAAUCAAAGUGAUGGAAAUUAAAGAUAA
Molecule: non-coding RNA, 214 nt
Organism: Pelobates cultripes (western spadefoot toad)
Lineage: Eukaryota; Metazoa; Chordata; Amphibia; Anura; Pelobatidae
Source: the annotation of a GenBank genome assembly